GGGGAUUUAGCUCAGCGGCAGAGCGCUUGCCUAGCAAGCGCAAGGCCCUGGGUUCAGUCCCCA
RNAcentral lists this transfer RNA (63 nucleotides) under Rattus norvegicus (Norway rat). It matches the Rfam family "tRNA". From Rfam's summary of the family: Transfer RNA (tRNA) molecules are approximately 80 nucleotides in length. Their secondary structure includes four short double-helical elements and three loops (D, anti-codon, and T loops). The record is from Rfam by way of RNAcentral. Lineage: Eukaryota; Metazoa; Chordata; Mammalia; Rodentia; Muridae.